Molecule: ribosomal RNA, 253 nt
Filed under: uncultured bacterium
Lineage: Bacteria
Description: partial 16S ribosomal RNA
Rfam family: Bacterial small subunit ribosomal RNA
Source: RNAcentral
UACGUAGGGGGCUAGCGUUGUCCGGAUUUAUUGGGCGUAAAGAGCGUGUAGGCGGCCAAGUAGGUCCGGUGUGAAAACUCGAGGCUUAACCUCGAGAUGUCAUCGGAAACCAUUUGGCUAGAGUCCGGAAGAGGAAAGUGGAAUUCCUGGUGUAGCGGUGAAAUGCGUAGAGAUCGGGAAGAACAUCGGUGGCGAAAGCGCUCUACUGGACCGCAACUGACACUCAGGGACGAAAGCUAGGGGAGCGAAUGGG